CCGACGUGCAGAAAUUGAAGAUAUUUUCUAUACUUCGUAAAAUGUGAAUAUGAUUUUCGGCAAUUUUUAAACCUAAUUGGAUAAGCUUUCGAUUAAAUGUAAUUCCAAUCCUGUAUCAACCAAUCAGAAGCCGUAUAGGAUUCUAUUCUGAGUACCAUCUUGGGGUAAAAAAACUUGCCGGUUAAAUGUAAACAAAUAAUUGCGC
RNAcentral lists this long non-coding RNA (205 nucleotides) under Mytilus galloprovincialis (Mediterranean mussel). Lineage: Eukaryota; Metazoa; Mollusca; Bivalvia; Mytilida; Mytilidae. The record is from RNAcentral.